UACGUAGGGCGCAAGCGUUGUCCGGAAUUAUUGGGCGUAAAGAGCUCGUAGGCGGCUUGUCACGUCGGGUGUGAAAGCCCGGGGCUUAACCCCGGGUCUGCAUUCGAUACGGGCAGGCUAGAGUGUGGUAGGGGAGAUCGGAAUUCCUGGUGUAGCGGUGAAAUGCGCAGAUAUCAGGAGGAACACCGAUGGCGAAGGCAGGUCUCUGGGCCAUAACUGACGCUGAGAAGCGAAAGCAUGGGGAGCGAACAGG
This 253-nucleotide ribosomal RNA is filed under the name uncultured bacterium. Its description in RNAcentral is "partial 16S ribosomal RNA". It matches the Rfam family "Bacterial small subunit ribosomal RNA", at positions 524 to 776 of the family's 1533-position model. The record is from RNAcentral.